AAUGAACGUUGGCGGCAUGGAUUAGGCAUGCAAGUCGCACGAGAACCCAAUUAGCUUGCUAUGAGGGGGACAGUGGCGAAAGGGAGAGUAACGCGUGGUUAUGUACCUUCGAGACCGGGAUAGUGUCGGGAAACUGGCAGUAAUACCGGAUAACAUCUUCGGAUCAAAUGGUGUGAUUCCGCUCGAAGAUCGGACCGCGUACUAUUAGCUUGUUGGUGAGGUAAUGGCUCACCAAGGCUGCGAUGGUUACCGGGUGUGAGAGCAUGGCCCGGCUCACUGGGACUGAGACACUGCCCAGACAUCUACGGAUGGCUGCAGUCGAGAAUCUUCGGCAAUGGACGAAAGUCUGACCGAGCGAUGCCGCGUGCGGGAUGAAGGCCCUCGGGUUGUAAACCGCUGUCAGUUGUUAGGAAAUCUAUAGGGGUUCUCUCCUAUGGUUGACCGAUCUUCAGAGGAAGGACGGGCUAAGUUCGUGCCAGC
Molecule: ribosomal RNA, 480 nt
Filed under: uncultured bacterium
Lineage: Bacteria
Description: bacterial SSU rRNA
Rfam family: Bacterial small subunit ribosomal RNA
Source: RNAcentral